CACACAGCACACAACACACACAACACGCAUGCCACACAGCACACAACACACACAACACGCACACAACACACAUGCCACACAGCACAUACCACACACAACACACAUGCCACACAGCACACACAUGUCACACACACAACACACAUGCCACAUACACACCACACAGCACACAUCGCACACAACACACACAUGCCGCACACACCACACAAAUACAUAUGCCACACAGUGCACAACACACAACACACAUGCCACACAGCACACGUCACACACAUACACACACACUACACACAACACACAUGCCAGACACACAGCCAACACAUCACACAACACACAUGACACACAUGCCAAAUGCACACACACUACACAUGCCACACACAUGCCACACACACCACACACAUGCACAACACACAUGCCAGAGACCACACAUGCCACACAACACACGACACACCACACAUGCCACAUACACAACACACAUGCCACAGAGCACACACCACACACACCACGUCACACACCAAACACAUGCCACACACACCACACAUGCCACACACCAAAUACGUAUCACACACAACACACAUGACACAAAGCACACACCACACAUGUCACACACCACACACAGGCGCACAACACACGCCACACACAUCACAACCCCCAUGCCACACAACACAUAUGCUACACAAUGUGAAUGACACACGCAUGCCACAUGCACACUCAACAUAGAUGCCACACACACACCACACAUGUCACACACACCACACACAAUACACAUGCCACACACAGAACACACAUACCAUGCACACAACACACACAACACACUUGCCCCACACAACACAUACACAUGCCAGACACACACAACACACACCACACACACAAAACACAACAAACAUGCCACAUGCAACACACACAACACACGUCACACACAACAUGCACACAACACAUGCCACACAUGCACACCACACACAACACACAUGCUGCACACACAACACACAUGCCACACAGGCACACAACACAGAACAUACAUGCCACACAUACACACACCACACAUACAACACACAUGCCACACACACCAUACACAACGCACAAAACACAACACAUAUGACACACAUGACACACAUACACACACCACACUCACACUCAUACUCACAAGGACAGAUAGUAAUCCUGAAACAUUCUCUUCUAAGCCCAUAAGGAAGAACUCAGAUGGCAGCUGCCUCUUCCUCUUCAGAGUCAGGUUGAGAAACACUAAACUUAUAGCCUAAAACCCAGGUUUUGGGCUCCACAGGCAGAGAGGCAAAUACAGUCA
This 1297-nucleotide long non-coding RNA is filed under the name Homo sapiens (human). Its description in RNAcentral is "non-protein coding lnc-IRX4-2:1". Lineage: Eukaryota; Metazoa; Chordata; Mammalia; Primates; Hominidae. The record is from RNAcentral.